CUACGAUAUACUAAGAACUUUUGACAUAUUGAAUGAGUUAGCCUGAAUAAAUUAUUUGUAAGUUUAUAUACUGUAAUGUUUUUUUUUAUAUUUUAUUUUUUGUAACUAAUGUAUAUGUAGGUAUUCAAUGUACCAAUAUUGGUAUUUGUUUGAAUAAAGUUUCUUCUUCUCAAGAGAAGCUCAGAUUCAACCUCUACUCAUUGAGUGUGAGUGAGCUUUUAGAAUACGGGCAGUUAGUCUCUUUCUGAAGCAUACGUUAGCUUCCCAUUGUGUAUUGGCCUAUCACCUAAAUUGCGUAAUUUCCUAAAAAGUCGUGUGAAAACUCACAUUCUACACCAAAAUAGACCUUAUUCGUCCUUUAAAGCUUACAGAUGUCGCGUUCCUAUAUUGGUCCUAGACUGUACACCCGGAAGGCCUAUAACAUAUAAUUUUCCACACAAAAAAACUCACGCUGUUUUAAUUGCAAUGAUCUUACAACAUACUGAGUUGUGUAACAGUUGUGUUUUGGCAAUUUGGCAUCUGAUAUUUGUAAGUCUAGCCUUGCUACGCGUCUGGUCAUGGCUUGAGAAAUAUAUAUAGACAUUUGAAUUUGUUUUGAAAUAUUAUCAGCAACAACCCCCUUGACCUUUAUGACAUUUCAGUUGUAUUUCCUAUAUGUUACAACAUCCGAUUAAAUUUCUGCAGUGUUAUAAAGCCUGGUUUUAAUACACUUAAAAUCAAAUUAGUUCCUGUGAUCACAGUAGAAAGUUUACAUAUACGUGAAUUUUCUAAGUUUUGAAGGUUUUGUAAGAACUGACUCACUGUUUAACAAAGAGGCAGUUCCCUCAAACAUUUCUAACAAAUCCUUCAAAACUUACAAUUUACCUAUGUAGAAUUCCUACUGUGAUCACAGAAACUUUGAUACGGGAAGAAUAUUAUAACUGCAUCUCUCAAGUUAGCCAAAACAAAUAUCUUGUGUCCGUUUUCAACUUCAAAACAGUCAUGUCAAGUCAUGCAUGCUUAAACUCACGUUGAAGUGACAUGCGAAACUGUCAGCUUCGUUUCCGCAUGUUCAAAGUCUGUUUGGUUUCACAGUCCACAAUUGCAAAGAAAAUGGAACUAAUUAUUAUAUGUAUACCAGCCAAAUGAAACACGCUGUAUAUUUACGUCGCUAUUUAAGUUUUUUGUCUGGGGUUGAAAUUUUUAAUCUGGCGAGCAGAUAUUUGCCAAAGGUUAGGGGCGGACCAUUAGAAAAGUGAUGGGGGGGGGGGCUAAGAGGCAAUAUUUUUUUUUGUUCACCUAUAGAAGAAAUAUAUUUUUUUCUCAAUUGAUUGCUGGAAAUAUUUUUUUAAGUGAACUUUAUAGGCCUAUCUUCCAAGCAAGGAUUUUUUUUUGCACUAUGCCUGGAGAGAGUUUUUUUCUCUAAUUUUUUUCUGGAAAUAAUUUUCUUUUUUGGUUUUGCCCCCAUCACUUUUCUAAUGGCCCGUCCCUUAUAUAGGCCGGAAGAAGUUAUUUCGCUGUCCUCAGAAUGACAUUUCUUCAAAACGUUUUCUUCAAGAUUGGUUUAGAAACAAACUUGGAGUAGGGUUAGGGUUUAGAGUUGAUGUUUGGAAUGGGGUUAGUGUUAGUAAAACCGUUGCUGUGUUAGGUUUUGUCACUCUGAGGCCAGCGAAAUAAUCUCUUCCGUGUAGGCCACGUGGCGAUUGAGAGAAAAAUUGAAAAGAUAAAGUAUUAAAUUCUAAAGAUUCCAGUCUCACAAGUUUUCAUUCUACCUUUGCAUGUCGUUUUCCAUGCAACAUAUUAAAAAACCUUUUUUUAUGGUAUAAAUCUAUACAACUAAACAGAAUACUUCAUACUACAUUGACCGAUAGGGCAACCUUUUAUUAAAUUUGGCGACGAGAUCUAUUAAACUAAUUGGUAGCUAUAAUUAACUGAACGACUACAAGUAUAAGGUUUUUAAAAUUCCAACCCCUAUACGUCUAAUCUACAUGGAAACAUAAAUAACGAUGGUGAUUGAAUUGUUCUAGCCUCUGCUGCAGUCGCUAGGUAGUAACAUCAAGUCACGUUUUUACCAUCCAAUAUUAAUUUGUGUUUAAUUAUGUUUGUAGAAGCAUGCAGCAUUCGUUUAAUUUGCAAAAUCAACACAACUUCAUGCCAAGCUUUGCAAACUCAGACAGCCAAAGCAAAACAUUUAAAAAAAUUUAUGACCUGUUACCAAGUAUAUUUUUUCAGAGGUUGGGUUCUCUCUUGGUAUAUAGAAAUUAUUUUCAUUCUAUCUUUUCAGAAUCUGGUUAUUUUUAACUUUGUAUAUCCACGCUUGAAAAUUGUUUUGCAUUUCUUUAUUACUUUAAUUCCACAAGCAUAAAUAUGACGCUUACCUGAGCAUCAAUAUACUCGUAUAUAGUGAGUUAUGAAUGCAGUGUAUACUAAAAUCGCAGUGCCCCUUUGCCAUAUGUUGGAAUAUUUCAUGAACUAGAUUUAUCGUUGGGAUCAUGUAGUUACUGUGCAUAUCUAUAAAGUAUCUCCUGCAUUUUACUCUUCUAUGUAUAAUUCAAUUAGUUUUGAACCACCUGUUUUGGAAGCCAAGGUUACAACGUUUCAGACUCGUAUAGUCGCUAUAACUCCGUUUAUAUUUUGCUUUAUACCUGUAAAAGUAUUGUUUAUUUGUUUUUGGAUUAAUUAUUAGUUCUGGUUGUUUCUGCAUAGUUGUUUCAUGCACAGCCUCUUGUUGUCUUUUACUGCAUCAAUGUACAAAACACUCAUUCAUUGAUGGAUAUAGAGCCUAUGACUAUAUAUGUACAGUACGUCAAACAUAGAUAAAACUACAUUGCUUGAUCAAAAUCAGUUGCAUACUUAGUAAAAGUACUUUGAAUCCUCGAUAAUGGUUGAAGAUGCUGCACAUAGUUAGCAAGACACAAACAAAACAAUUAACCGCAGUCAUUCGACUAAUUGAUAAAAUAUAAAACUUUAAUUGUUUAAAAGUACUGGAAAAACACCAUCUGUUUGCUCUGACUACAGAUUUAUAAGAAGAGAUAUCAAAUUAACUGGAUCAUGUCAAUUUUAUUGCCGAUAGAUUAUGAGACUGUUGACGAUACUAUACCAAUUUAACGCCGCAAUGCCAAUGGUGUUCAAGGCUGCAGUGAAAAUGAUCUGCCUAUAUUUAAUUUCGAAAUAAAACUAAAUUUUUUUAUUCGUUUUGAAACUUGUAAAGCCUGUAUGAAGAAUAUAUUCUUGAUUAUAUAAAGCUCCAUAUACCUUCGACGAAAUCUCCUAUGAAAAUCCGUUAUGUUUGUCGCAAUUAAUUAAGCCUUUCAUCUUUGCCGCCAAGCGUAACUAAUCCAAUAUCGUAUACUUUGCAUAAAACGAGGGAAAUCAUUUUAAUUGUGAAAAAGUCUUUUUCAAAACAGUGGGGAUGAUUUACUGGCGAUUAUUACUGGCAGACAAAAGUCCUCUCCUAUAAUAUAUUAAUCAUUUAAAGCCUGUCAUUGUUAGGGUUAUACCACAGACACAUAAUUGAUUGCGCGGCGUGCUAAAAAACAUCUUCUAAACGGAAAGGUUUUUAACGGUAAGAAAUUGGCAUCAUUGUCUGGUGAUUAAGAGCAAACAAAGUACAGUUUUACCAGCAGAUGUGGUCAGCUUACAGUUUUUAGGGAGAGAAAAUAAUGUUCCUGUAGUAAACUUGUACUUGCAACCAACAUCAACAACUGAGAAAGCGUCGUAUAAAGCGUAAUACUGUGCGCAGAGCAAUUGUCUUUU
Molecule: non-coding RNA, 3735 nt
Organism: Paramuricea clavata
Lineage: Eukaryota; Metazoa; Cnidaria; Anthozoa; Malacalcyonacea; Plexauridae
Source: the annotation of a GenBank genome assembly